RNAcentral lists this ribosomal RNA (465 nucleotides) under uncultured Klebsiella sp. RNAcentral's name for it is "bacterial SSU rRNA". It matches the Rfam family "Bacterial small subunit ribosomal RNA", at positions 338 to 795 of the family's 1533-position model. The record is from RNAcentral. Lineage: Bacteria; Pseudomonadati; Pseudomonadota; Gammaproteobacteria; Enterobacterales; Enterobacteriaceae.
CCUACGGGCGGCAGCAGUGGGGAAUAUUGCACAAUGGGCGCAAGCCUGAUGCAGCCAUGCCGCGUGUGUGAAGAAGGCCUUCGGGUUGUAAAGCACUUUCAGCGGGGAGGAAGGCGGUGAGGUUAAUAACCUCAUCGAUCGACGUUACCCGCAGAAGAAGCACCGGCUAACUCCGUGCCAGCAGCCGCGGUAAUACGGAGGGUGCAAGCGUUAAUCGGAAUUACUGGGCGUAAAGCGCACGCAGGCGGUCUGUCAAGUCGGAUGUGAAAUCCCCGGGCUCAACCUGGGAACUGCAUUCGAAACUGGCAGGCUAGAGUCUUGUAGAGGGGGGUAGAAUUCCAGGUGUAGCGGUGAAAUGCGUAGAGAUCUGGAGGAAUACCGGUGGCGAAGGCGGCCCCCUGGACAAAGACUGACGCUCAGGUGCGAAAGCGUGGGGAGCAAACAGGAUUAGAUACCUCUGUAGUC